This is a non-coding RNA of Acanthosepion pharaonis, 96 nucleotides long. The record is from the annotation of a GenBank genome assembly. NCBI's taxonomy places the organism in Eukaryota, Metazoa, Mollusca, Cephalopoda, Sepiida, Sepiidae.
UUGAAACAAAGGUUCCCGUUCGAUCACCGAAGUUAAGCAACGUCGUGACUGGUCAAUACCAAGGUGAGUGACACCUUGGGAAUACCGGGUGCUACA